GACGAACGCUGGCGGCGUGCUUAACACAUGCAGUCGAACCGAAAGGCCCUGCUUUUGUGGGGUGCUCGAGUGGCGAACGGGUGAGUAACACGUGAGUAACCUGCCCUUGACUUUGGGAUAACUUCAGGAAACUGGGGCUAAUACCGGAUAGGAGCUCCUGCUGCAUGGUGGGGGUUGGAAAGUUUCGGCGGUUGGGGAUGGACUCGCGGCUUAUCAGCUUGUUGGUGGGGUAGUGGCUUACCAAGGCUUUGACGGGUAGCCGGCCUGAGAGGGUGAACGGCCACAUUGGGACUGAGAUACGGCCCAGACUGCUACGGGAGGCAGCAGUGGGGAAUAUUGCACAAUGGGCGGAAGCCUGAUGCAGCAACGCCGCGUGCGGGAUGACGGCCUUCGGGUUGUAAACCGCUUUCGCCUGUGACGAAGCGGGAGUGACGGUAAUGGGUAAAGAAGCACCGGCUAACUACGUG
Molecule: ribosomal RNA, 467 nt
Filed under: uncultured bacterium
Lineage: Bacteria
Description: partial 16S ribosomal RNA
Rfam family: Bacterial small subunit ribosomal RNA
Source: RNAcentral